RNAcentral lists this ribosomal RNA (467 nucleotides) under uncultured bacterium. RNAcentral's name for it is "bacterial SSU rRNA". It matches the Rfam family "Bacterial small subunit ribosomal RNA", at positions 329 to 794 of the family's 1533-position model. The record is from RNAcentral.
CCCCAGACUCCUACGGGAGGCAGCAGUGAGGAAUAUUGGGCAAAGGCCGGAAGGCUGAACCAGCCAAGCCGCGUGAAGGACGAAGGGGCCAAGCAUUGUAAAAUUCUUUUGUCAAGGGACAAAAUCAGGCUCGAGAGCCUGACCGAGGGUACUUGAAGAAAAAGCAUCGGCUAACUCCGUGCCAGCAGCCGCGGUAAUACGGAGGAUGCGAGCGUUAUCCGGAUUUAUUGGGUUUAAAGGGUGCGUAGGCGCGAUUUUAAGUCUGGGGUAAAGUCCGGGGUCGCAACCCCGGCGAGCCGUUGAACCUGGCUGUCUUGAGAUGUCGAGAGGUAUGCGGAAUGCGCAGUGUAGCGGUGAAAUGCAUAGAUAUCACGCAGAACUCCGAUUGCGAAGGCAGCUUACCGGCGCUCAACUGCCGCUGAGGCACGAAAGUUCGGGUAUCGACCAGGAUUAGAUACCCCAGUAUA